Molecule: long non-coding RNA, 5741 nt
Filed under: Zea mays
Lineage: Eukaryota; Viridiplantae; Streptophyta; Magnoliopsida; Poales; Poaceae
Description: long non-coding RNA (ZMAY_LNC005450)
Source: RNAcentral
CGCAUUGGGAUUACUUUAUUAUUACUUCUAUUUAUUAUUACUAAGGUUUGGUAUUUACUUACACUUAGUAACUGCUAAUAAAAUUUUGACCAACUUAUAAAAGCAAUGCUCAGCGUCAACCUUUAUUUUGUUGAUCAACCUUACACUUCACAUGAACUCCCACCUUUGGUGAGUUCAUGCCACAUUAUUCCCCACAACUUGUUGAGCGAUGAACAUGUGUGAGCUCACCCUUGCUGUCUCACACCCCCCAUAGGAGAAGAACAUGUGGUUCAAGAGGAACCACACAACGAGGAGUUUGAUCUGAUCUAGGUGACGUCUCCUAGUUGACUUUAUGGCGCCAAGGAUGGACCUUAGUUUGUUUUAUAUUUAACUUUUAUUUUGUAAGACUUCCGCAAUGUAAUAAGUAUUCUGGUGUUAUUGUGAUAUUUAUCUCUAUACACUCUGUUAUUAUAUAUGUUGUCUUCUUUGGUGUAUGUAUGAGAUGCACCCGGCUUUGUCCCUUAAAUCCGAUUGUGAAAGAAGUGGUACCAAAGGAAUGUUGACUGUAGGACAAAACCUAGAUAGAAAUGGACAAAACCCUUACCUACUUACCUUACUCUGAUUCUUUUCUAAACUUAUCUUAAUCUUUUCUCAUCUAUUUCCCAUUUACUCUGAUUAUUCUUACCUUUUCACUUCUAAAGACAAACGUGGAUUUCACACUUUGAAAUCAUGUGCCUAAAGUGACCUUUAGGAAUAGGAGACCUACUCUUACGAGCAAAAACAAAACUAUUUUAUAGGUAUUUAUACGCUUCAAUGUUUGUUCUUAUGAUACUUGUCUGAUUUGGAUCUUUUAUUGAGUGUGAUGGGUUGUGGAGUAAUGUCCACAAUUGCAUCUGCAUAUACACCUAGACAUAAGGGAAACCAUUUAUAAAAUAGACAACACAGAAUAUUCCUUAUUAAAAAUAUAUCUAGUUUAAUAUAUCCAUUUUAUCUUAAAAGGUUCUCUCUUAUCUUAAUAGAUCCAUCUUAUGUCGAAAAGAUUCUAUCCUAUCUUAAUAGAUCUGACUAAUCUUAAAAGAUUCUACCUUAUUCUUAGAGACUCAUCUUGUCCUAAUAAGCAUACUUAUCUCCACCACUUUGUUUAUCUCAUAAUGAUGUAACAAACAUGAUCUAUUCCAAAAUAAAUUAAGUAGAUCUAUCUAACCUAAACUAGUCCAUUCUAGUUAUACCUGACCUUAUCUAAUCUAUUAUGGUCAAACCUAAUGUGAGUCACUCAAACAUGAUUAGCUAAUGCUGAGGAAACACAUUAGACCCUGCUCCUAUAAACAAGUUUCAGAUCUUAGAUCAACUGACCCUACUCAAUAACUUGACCUACAAAAACAGGUUACAUAACUAAUCCCAUCUAGCAUAUAGCUACCCACUAAACCCUCUACCCAUCUGUUACCUACAGAUUUAUCUUGACCUCUUGUUCCAAACCCGAAUGGUGACACCCAAGCUCAAGAAGGAAGAGAUCAAUCUCCUUAAAGAAGAAUAGGAGUCAGUUAGACCCCAAAGGAAGCUCGAUUAUGCCAUAGUACACUCAUUCUAUGUCAACACUCGCCUAAUAGUUAAAACCUGAUGUACCCUUGUUUUCUAUGCCACACCUGCUAAUGGCAUGAAGAAUUUUAAGUGUAUAAAAAAUAUACUAAUUGGAAGUCCCACUUAAAAAAUAUAUAUACUAGAAUUUCAUAAAGUUCAAGUCAGCUUGAUAGGCUCAACUAAAUUGUAUCCUUAAACAGGAUUAUAUAAUAUGAUGUGAUUUAAUCUAAUAUGAUCUAAUCUAGUGUGAUCUAAUCUAAUGUGGUCUACUUAAACAGAUUAGUGAUACUAGUAGGGGAGAUUAAACCCUACUAGCCAGGUGUUAACUUAACUUAGCACAUUAGACCAACUCAACCAUGAGCAGAAGAGCUAACCCAACCAAUAGAGUCAUGAUGGAUUGCAUAAUCUGUCUAUCCUCACCAAUUAUCAAACAGGAUUUUGACCUACAUCAUGUAGUCUAUCUCAUCCAUAUCUAUCUUAACCACAUUCCCCAACUCAGGUGAUAUACACUAACCCCGAAUCAAUGAGACCAAGACCGAAGAAGAAAAGAUCCACAUCAACAAGGAAGGAUAUAACAGUUAAAGCAAAUCUCAAGAUGAAUCAAGACUUAAACCUUUCAGAUAAAUACUUUUCCUUUCCAUAAUCUUUCUUACCUCAACCCGUCCAGCUUAUAACCUACAUAAUAUGUAGCUGGAUACCUAUGCUCUCCUAAUCACCCACUAUUGACUAUAAAAAAUGGCACUCUGGAUUUUUGAACCAAUUAUAGACUAAAAGAUGAAUUACAAACCAAUACUUAUGUAUCCCUUUCCUUGCAAAUCUCGGGGACGAGAUUUCUGUUAAGGGGGUAGGAUUUGUAAUACCCAAAUAAUGAGAUGAGGAAUAAAAAAUCCAUUUGACCACUUGUGUUGUUAUUCUCAUUUUUGCAUAUAACAAAUCAUGGGAUUAACCCUGACUACCAAUAAAAAAAUACUAAAUAAGAAAGUCGCAUCAUGUUGGGUUUUGUUUGUCUGUGCAUCUAACAAUGAUAACAAUAAUACCAAUAAAAAUAUAACAAUGAGUGGAGGAUUUAAAUUAAAACCUAAAGUUAGAAUUUGAAAAUAAAAUGGAUGAGGAGAAAGAAAUGAGAAAAGAAAGAGUUAAGGAAUAUAAAACUCACAUAAAGUAUAUAUAGAAUCAUAUUUUCAAAAUUUGUACCACACUUGUGCAAUGUAAUCUGAAGACAAAAUUUGUCAAUAUUUGAAUCAUAUUUGAAAUGGAAAUUCGAAUUUGGAAAGGAAGGAACCAGAAAAAAAAGAAAAUGAAAAAGAUGAGGGAAACCUUGUUUGGGUCGUGUUCUCAUUGGCCGGCCCAUUCCAGUGGGGUUCUGCGCGGCCCACAUGGCAUGUGACGCGCGCACGGGUUGGUAUGACGAGUGGGCCCGAGUUGUCGGCUAAUCCAUCACUCUCGGCGCCACUUCCUGGCGGGGCCGCUGCCCAGUUUCCCUUCACGGCGCGCUUAGGCUAAUCAACUGUCGGGUGGGCCCAGGUUACCAGGGGACGUCAACGACCUUCCAAUUAGAGCGCAGCGUGGGUGGACCUGCCGAAUUCCGCGGACUCGCCGUCGAUCUCUGCGGGAAGCCAACCCACGUUACCCCCUCGCCCACCUCUAUAAACCCAGUCGCGGUUGCAUGGGAAAACCCCUUGCGGCCACUGCAUUUAUCUAGCAUCCCUAGAGCACCAAGGAGGAAAGCCGACCGUGGGUGCUGCUGCGCUAGCAACUCAGCGGGAGGGGGAAAGAGAGGCGGGGUUCACUGUUGCACUCAAAGAGUGGGUGCCGUGCGAGCGUGGCCAAUUCCCCACCAGGCAGGGACUUCGCCACCGAACAGAUCACGACGUCGGGACCUCGGGUGAGUAGCCACCUCGGAAUUACUUCCUUUUCUCCAUCCUAUGGCUUUUGCACGGUCCGUGGAGGAUCGGUAUCCCUGAGCGAAGUUUAGGUGUGGACCGUGACUGGUGCACCACCGGAGAACGGCGGUGUCGUGUACUGGUCCGAGCUGUGUGCACGCCGGUUGACCAAUGGGAGAAAGAGAGUACUGGGGAGGGCACGACAUCUAUGCAUGGGCGGUGUGAGGUUGAAGACGCCAGGGCAUCUGUGGAUUAGGAAAUAGACGGUCGAGAUCAGAUGAUAGGAUACCUCUUCGCCAACGCGAUCCGUGUCGUUGGCGUUGGAUCAAAGGGUGGCGAUUAGAUCGCGGGCUCGGUGAAUGUGGAUCGUGGAUCAUGGAUCCAACUACCCAGAACACGUACCGGUUCAAUGUAAUGUGGAUCUAAUCUAGGUCGUAGAAUCGUGAUCGGACGGUCCUGGGCGAGCGAUACCCCUUCGCUGGCUCGUUUUACAUAAGCGCCCCUCAACUUUUAGCGAAUCAACCCGCAGUCCAGUUAUCAGUGCGCUGGGUCUUAGAAAUAAUUGCGCAAAGGCCCCUGCUCUUCCCUGUUUUCGUGUGCCCAGUCCAUAGAUUUAUAAAAUCAGGAAAAUGAAUUAGAAAAUGAGUUUUUAAUAUGAAAAGAAUUUCUAGAAUUUGUAUAAUUCAUAAAAAAAUCAUAUUAGGUCCAAAUUAAUCUAUUCCAGUUUCUAUAAUUUUGUAAUAUUAUUGUUUAUCCCCUAGUGUCUCUGUUUUGACAUGAAAACAGUAAUAAAAUUAUUUCUUAGUUAAUCUUGUAUCAAGUACAUAAAACCUUUGGAAAUUCGUAACUCAAAAUCUAUAACACCAAAUUUAAUGAUUCAUGUUCCUAUGAUCUUAUUUUAAUGUGUAGAUUAUUAUUAUGUAUUUUGUUUACAUGUUUGGUGUGAUGUUAAUUUCUCCUUUAUACUGUACUUGUUUGUAUUGUGGCGAGUAGAAGAGCCUGUGACUGAGGAUCCUGGUGCCCAGCAGAUAGAAGUUGCUGAGCAGGAGCUCAUUAAAGGCAAGUUGUGCCCUUGAUCACUUCCUUUUGACCGAGUCAUAUUCUUAUUAAUCAUAAUGAUAUGCAUAGGUUAAUUUGAUGGGAUCCAAUAGGUUACCCUAGUUUUGGCUAUCUUUAUACCUUGUUUUACCACUGAAUUUUUGGGUAGUAUAUGCUAUUGCUUUAUGUGGUUGUGGGUAUAGAGAUAUACAUUACUCAUGUUUACACUUUUGUUAUCAGUUUAUUAUUUACUGGUCAUGAUAAAAUCAUUAUGUUAAUGGGAACAUGGAGAACCACCCGGAAAAACAGUGCCACCACAAGGGUGGUAUGGGACGCCCUUGGCUGACUAAUUAGGAAAGCUAUUGGAAGACUACCUUACCCGAAAGGGGCAAGGGCAAUAGGGGAGUUGCAUGCAGGGAGGUUCUCGGGUUGAUUUUGCUGCGAUGGCGGUCAGACGAGGGAUUCUUGCAAGUGCUCUUCCCAUAAACUGUAGCGGGUUUUCGGAAGCUAGUGGAACUUUGUAAAGGCCUCGUAGUGGAUCCCUAGCCAUUCACCUCGGUAGUGUCUAAGGGCCUUGCAAACCCUGGCGACAUGGGAUACAUGACUUGUGGGUAUAGGGUACAACCUCUGUAGAGUGUAAAACUGGUAUACUAGCCGUGCUCACGGUCAUGAGCGACUCGGACACUCACAUGAUUAAUUUAUGAAAUUAAAUUCAAUUUGUCAUUUGCAUUGCAUUGGGAUUACUAUAUUAUUACUUCUAUUUAUUAUUACUAAAGUUUGGUAUUUACUUACACUUAGUAACUGCUAAUAAAAUUUUGACCAACUUAUAAAAGCAAUGCUCAGCUUCAACCUUUAUUUUGUUGAUCAGCCUUACACUUCACAUGAACUCCCACCUUUGGUGAGUUCAUGCCACAUUAUUCCCCACAACUUGUUGAGCGAUGAACAUGUGUGAGCUCACCCUUGCUGUCUCACACCCCCCCACAGAAGAAGAACAUGUGGUUCAAGAGGAGCCACACAACGAGGAGUUUGAUCUGAUCUAGGUGGCGUCUCCCAGUUGACUUUAUGGUGCCAAGGAUGGACCUUAGUUCGUUUUAUAUUUAACUUUUAUUUUGUAAGACUUCCGCAAUGUAAUACGUACUCUGUUGUUAUUGUGACAUUUAUCUCUAUACACUCUGUUAUUAUAUAUGUUGUCUUCUUUGGCGCAUGUAUGAGAUGCACCCGACUUUGUCCCUUAAAUCCGGGUGUGACAGAGGUGGAGCUAAG